This 85-nucleotide transfer RNA is filed under the name Felis catus (domestic cat). It matches the Rfam family "tRNA". Rfam says of the family: Transfer RNA (tRNA) molecules are approximately 80 nucleotides in length. Their secondary structure includes four short double-helical elements and three loops (D, anti-codon, and T loops). Lineage: Eukaryota; Metazoa; Chordata; Mammalia; Carnivora; Felidae. The record is from Rfam by way of RNAcentral.
GCCUGGGUGGCUUAGUCGGUUAAGCGUCCGACUUCAGCUCAGGUCAUGAUCUCGCAGUCCGUGAGUUCGAACCCCGCGUCAGGCU